GUGUGUUUCUGUGGCCUGUCUGUCAGGAAAACCACAGCAAGCUUCAGAAGUGAGUCACACUGAGAACAAGUUCUGUAAAAUUACACUUUCUGUCAAAGUCCACAUAGUCAAACACACAAGUGUCGUCGUGAAGGAUUCUUGGACAUUCACAUUAUUUAGCUUCAUCAUGACUGAACACCUGCUGUUAGUCAUCCUCAUGUCUCUAAAACCUGAGGUGAGUCUUCAGCAUUUUCCUGGUGAAUACGUUUUCAUGACCUGCACUCUGCCUGGAUCUGCUCAUGAAGAUACGAGAUGUAACCUUUACUUUGGAGAAGAAAGGGAUCCAUUUCAAACAACAACCAUCUUGAAGCAAAGGACCUCAAAGAAUCAGAGGUUCUGCCAGUUUACUGUCACAAUUUCUGAUUUGCUUACCCGUCUCCAUUUUCCUCAAAGAAGCGUCACCAGCUGUGAUUACAGUUUGGGAAGUGAACCAAACUCUUUGUCUCCUCGUAGUGAUGGAUACCGCUUGACUGAUAUUGUGGAAAGAGAAUCAAGCGCUCCCUUCACAAAACCAGUAUUUCCUAUGACCACAGAUUUGAUUGUUGGCAGACCCGGUGCUUCUGCAACUCCUGUGAAACUGGAAUCAGAUAUUGUGGACAAAGAGACACACUCCACACAGACUAUGGCGACAUCUACUAUGACCACAGGUAGGACUGUUAGCAGGCUCCAUGCCUCCACACCUAUAACUCGGACCAAACGAACGUUAGGUCAGAAUGUUGGAUCCAGCAACACUGGUAGUUUCAUCUCUACUUCUAUCACACCAGUGAAACCAACAUCAGUUGGUCAGACACCUCAUAAAUCUAGCACUAAAGCUAGCUUGCUCCAUGUAACCCCAAUUGAUCCACCAACAGCAGAAACAUGGACAUGGAACUUGGUAGUAGUUGCAGCGUGUCUUGGAGGUGUCAUCUUACUGGGCCUAGCACUUCUCUUUACCAAAAGAAGAACUGAAAGAUGUUCUAGCAAAAGGACACAAGCUGAUGCCACUGAUGACUUAAUGUGCAUGAGAGAGCUUAACCAUGGAGGAUCAGUAAUUAAAAAAUGUUUUCUCUGUCAGAUGUAG
RNAcentral lists this long non-coding RNA (1099 nucleotides) under Cottoperca gobio. Its description in RNAcentral is "lncRNA (ENSCGOG00000023311.1)". Lineage: Eukaryota; Metazoa; Chordata; Actinopteri; Perciformes; Bovichtidae. The record is from RNAcentral.